UAGGGAAUCUUCCGCAAAUGGACGAAAGUCUGACGGAGCAACGCCGCGUGAGCGAAGAAGGUCUUCGGAUUGUAAAGCUCUGUUGUUAGGGAAGAACAAGUGCUGUUCGAAGAGGGCGGCACCGUGACGGUACCUAACGAGAAAGCCACGGCUAACUACGUG
RNAcentral lists this ribosomal RNA (162 nucleotides) under uncultured bacterium. RNAcentral's name for it is "partial 16S ribosomal RNA". It matches the Rfam family "Bacterial small subunit ribosomal RNA", at positions 355 to 507 of the family's 1533-position model. The record is from RNAcentral.